Long non-coding RNA from Paramormyrops kingsleyae, 986 nucleotides. RefSeq lists it as uncharacterized. Lineage: Eukaryota; Metazoa; Chordata; Actinopteri; Osteoglossiformes; Mormyridae. The record is from RefSeq and is a predicted model, not a curated record.
AACACUGUCCUUAUAACCAGCACUGAAAUUAAUACAAACGAGAUCGCCAACAGCUGCUGACUUUUAUAUCAUGUCGGUUUUUACUACCGGGAGCGAAAGGCAGGAAACAGGUAGAGUCUGUAUGCAGCAGCAGUGAGGACGUCUCACUUGUGGCUUCACCGCACGUCCCGGUGAAUCCUGGCAGGAUGUACGAGUGGUGAAUGCCAGUCAUGAUGGAUCUGGUUUGUGACGGAGACCCUGUCCCUGAAAAGCCACAGACAUUUGACAGGAGCCAGAAUGAUGACCAGUCUGUCUCAGCCAAGAUCCUGAUGUAUCUUUCCGUGAGGCCAUCUGCAGCCAUCAUGCUGAAUAUAAUUAGCUAAUUAAAAAUCCACACUUUCCCACUGUAACUCGCUUUGCCGCAUUUCACUGCUAAGUCCCUGCUGACAACUCUACUGUGACUAUGACUAAUGUUAACGACGUUUAGCCUCCUCUCCAGUCUAGGUAGACCAGUUACCACAGUCAUCCUUUAUCCUGUAGAACAUUUAUGAAUGGGACACUGUGAAUCUUUUGGAGACGUAUCUACUGAAUGGUAAAGACAGGAAUGGAUGACAUAUUUACUCACGCCUAAACGCCUAAAACAGGAUAAGAUGACUGAUAUUGUUCAUUAUGUUUAGUACUUACUGUGUAUAUGCUAUUCUUGACACACAAUGUACACUGCAUAACAUUCAGAAAUCUCUUUGGUUAUGCACUAACUGUAAUGUAAAAUGUCUGCCUCAGCCACACUGAGAAAUUAUACUUCACAGCUUAGUAUGUCGUACUGUAUCCCAGUUUUUGUUACAUGCUGAAUUUUGUAAUCACCACUUAGAGAUCUCACUAUUUAGUGCACUGUCUCACUUUGGCCACAACUAGUUUGUAUACCUAGAGUAUGUAUAUUUACUGUUUGCAGAAGGGUUGUUGUUAUUACCCGAUACUUGUAUUUUAUUUUAUGUUUACUUUAUCUAAUU